RNAcentral lists this microRNA (23 nucleotides) under Ananas comosus (pineapple). RNAcentral's name for it is "microRNA s1277_c028b". Lineage: Eukaryota; Viridiplantae; Streptophyta; Magnoliopsida; Poales; Bromeliaceae. The record is from RNAcentral.
ACAUUAAUAUAAAAUUCGACCCC